RNAcentral lists this long non-coding RNA (740 nucleotides) under Prunus dulcis (almond). RNAcentral's name for it is "sRNA ncRNA". The record is from RNAcentral. Lineage: Eukaryota; Viridiplantae; Streptophyta; Magnoliopsida; Rosales; Rosaceae.
GCCCACUCAGUAUAUCAAUGGCUAAAUGAUCAGCUUCUCUUUGAUGCCUUAAAAAUUUCACACCAUUUGGCAAAUCUGUGAGAGGAACAACCUCACUUCUCACAGCGCGAUAUUCGGGAGCAGGUAUUUGAAACAACGGAUACCUCCAUUGAAAGCAUAUUCAUAGUAACACCCUGCCUCUUUACUGCAGCCACACUCAGCGGGUUCAUCCCAUAUCUGGUCCGACAAUCUUUGGAGGACAAGAGUCAAUAAACACAGGAUGAUUGGAAAUGAAAUGAGCCAAAUAUUUGUCUUGAUAUUUCCUUUCUGAAAGAAGAAAAGGAAAACAUAAAAUCAUGUAAUGAGAAGAAGUACCAUUAUUUGGGUAUUGGCCCCUCAAAGAAUUGCUCUUCAGUUAAAUGUAAGCAAUUUUGGCCUUUUCUAUUGGACAGGAAGCAAUUAUUUUGACAUGGCUAUUAACUACACGACGUGACAUGUGUCAUAUUUAAAUUUUACAAGAACAUAAUUCUGUUCGUCCAAAAAAAAAAAACCAAAAAAAAAAAACAAGAAUGUAAUUCUGACUUUUGAUUGUUGGGUUUAAUAAAAAUCAUUAUUAACUGCGCUCUGAAAAGCCAGCCAGAGGUGUCCGUUCAUAGUUGUAGAUGGCAAUCGGCAAUUGUACCACUUGUGUUUGUAGGGGGAGAUGUCACACUAUUAAAUUCUUGAGCACUAGACGCUACAGGCAAUUUAUACAUUGUGAG